CGAGCGGGCCACGUGAUCGUCCCGAGCAAUCGGGGAGGAAAGUCCGAACUCCGAACGGGUGGCAUGCCGGGUAAUCCCCGGUCGCGGCGACGUGAAGGAAAGUGCCACAGAAAUUAAACCGCCUUCUGCCCUUCGCGGGGUGGACGGUAAGGGUGAAACGGUGCGGUAAGAGCGCACCGCCCCGGCGGCAACGCCGGGGGCAGGGUAAACCCCAUGCGGAGCAAGGCCAAAUAGGGAGGCGGAGGGUACCCGUCCCGUUCCACUUCGGUGGACCGUCUCCGGGUCGGCUGCUGGAAUCCGGGAGCGAUCCCGGGUCUAGAGGAAUGAUCGCGGCCCCGGGCAACCGGGGAACAGAAUUCGGCUUACCGGCCCGCUCGGGGU
Molecule: RNase P RNA, 381 nt
Filed under: Acidobacteriota bacterium
Lineage: Bacteria; Pseudomonadati; Acidobacteriota
Description: RNase P RNA component class A
Rfam family: Bacterial RNase P class A
About the family: Ribonuclease P (RNase P) is a ubiquitous endoribonuclease, found in archaea, bacteria and eukarya as well as chloroplasts and mitochondria. Its best characterised activity is the generation of mature 5'-ends of tRNAs by cleaving the 5'-leader elements of precursor-tRNAs. Cellular RNase Ps are ribonucleoproteins.
Source: RNAcentral